AUCGCUUCUCGGCCUUUUGGCUAAGAUCAAGUGUAGUAUCUGUUCUUAUCAGUUUAAUAUCUGAUACGUCCUCUCUCUGGGGACAGUGUAUUAAGCGGAUCUUUGGAGCCGGGAGUGGGGUUAGGAGCUUGCUCCGCCCGCUCCAUGCAUCGACCUGGUAUUGCAGUACUGCCGGGAACGGUGCACCCCCU
This is a small nuclear RNA of Callorhinus ursinus (northern fur seal), 191 nucleotides long. RefSeq annotates it as U2 spliceosomal RNA. NCBI's taxonomy places the organism in Eukaryota, Metazoa, Chordata, Mammalia, Carnivora, Otariidae. The record is from RefSeq and is a predicted model, not a curated record.